GCCCCUUUGGUGAAAUGGAUAUCACUACUGUCUUCGGAACAGUCAUUCUAGGUUCGAGUCCUGGGAGGGGCA
RNAcentral lists this transfer RNA (72 nucleotides) under Minisyncoccota bacterium. RNAcentral's name for it is "tRNA-Arg". It matches the Rfam family "tRNA". From Rfam's summary of the family: Transfer RNA (tRNA) molecules are approximately 80 nucleotides in length. Their secondary structure includes four short double-helical elements and three loops (D, anti-codon, and T loops). The record is from RNAcentral. Lineage: Bacteria; Bacillati; Minisyncoccota.